UUUAAUGAAGACUCUCAAAUUUGGACUUCUCAGUGGUGAUUGGUCUGUUCUUAAGUUGCACCCAAUAACAUUUGCAGGUCUGGAAACUCCUGAGGAGGGUAGAGACCACACCACUUCUUCUAGGGGAAGACCUCUGAGAGAUGUUCCUCAGUCCCAGGCUGCAAAGUCUAUGGAGCCCCGCCCAGGACUGAAAUAAAUUCUCCAAGAGUCGCCUGUUUCUAUGCCCCUGGGGACUGAGGUAUUACUUCAAGAACAAUCUGAAUUAAUUUGAGAUAAUAAUCCAUCACCUAUAGGACAGACUUUGUUAGGCCUUUUUAUGGAAACAAUGUCUCAGCUCUUCCACCUUCUGACAUUUAUCCCUGGAAAGACCCAACUUCUAAAGAGGGACAUCAAAUGGAUUGCCCCACCGCACUUCACCCCUUCUCCGAUGGAAGCAGCAAGAGCAGUCAUCGACCUUUUUCCUUAUAGCAGUAAGAAGUCCCUAAAAUUAGAGGGGCAGUAAAAAAAUUAAAAAGAAAGUCAAUGUAGAUAAGUAAUUGGGUUAAAUAAAAAAAUAAAGGCCAGUUUGGUUCCAGAAAGUUGUAGGCAAAUGACCUCUAAAAGAUUAAAGUGUGAAAGCUUCCCAGCCUGACCUCCACCCUUACCAAGAAUCUGCUCCUGUGACAACCUGUUGUUAAGUCUCCCCAAUAGGUUCAACUUACCACAGAACCAGUCCCAAGAGACCACUGAUUUCCAACACCAAUUCCAGCCAGGAGACUACAUCUACGUCAAACAGUUCCAGUAAAAAGGAUGAAUGCCCACCAGAAAUGUAGGGGACCUUACUCACAACAUGGAUUCAUCACAUCUCAGUCAAGACAACAGAAAAAUGGACAGUCCUCAGAGACCCCAACCACCCUCUAAAUAUGAGACUGAAAAGUGUUAAUCAUGCUUUUUCUCUUGCUUAUUCUUACAACUCUACUGUAGUACUUGGGACUUCCUCAGGCUCACAUGACAACCAUCUUGUGUCCCCUGAAGGAACAUGGUUUACUUGGAGUUCAGGGAAACUCCAUGCCUGGCCUUCAACUUUACAAGAUUAGCAAAUGGGAUGAAUUCUGUGUUCACGUCAUUUCCCAGGUGUACUAUUAUGAUGGGGAGGGUAGAAGGGAACAUCUGGGGCUAAUACAUUGAUCUAAAUGAGCUUCCCAUGUCUUCGUUCCCAUCCUAGUGGGAUUAGGUAUAGCUGGUUCCAUUGCUAUAGGGACCACUGCACUCAUUAUAAGAGAACAAAAUUUCAAAACCAUUAGUAGGCAAAUAGAUCUAAAUUUAAGUAAAUUAAAAAACUCUGUAAGUCACUUUAAAAAUUCCCUUGGUUCACUUGCUGAGGUAGUUUUAAUAAACAAAAGAGGGUUAAAUUUGCUGUUUUAAAAUAAGGAUUAUGUAUGGCUUUAGGGGAGUCCUGUUGUUCCUAUACUAAAAACACAGGUGUCAUUGAUGAUAGUUUAUCUUUGAUUAGAAAAAGGCUCAACAAAAGGGAGGAAGAGCUUAAAAUCUGAGGGUAUUUGGUACUAAAAUCUGUUCUCUUGGUCCCCCUGGUUAAUGACUCUAAUAACCACGAUGGCAGGACCUCUCAUCCUAUUUAUAUUGGGGCUUUUAAUUGGGCCAUGCAUGAUAAACUGUUUAACUAAAUAUGUUAGAGAUAGAAUCCAGUCAGCUAAGCUGUUUUACACAGCCACUACAAUCAGCUCUAUACUAAGUAAUAAAUCAAUGAUUUUAUUAUGUACAUAAAACUAGUGGGAAAUGUGACAGAUUGACAUAUUUGACUCCUUGGAAAUGUUACAGGCCAGGUUAUGUGAGCAAUGACCAAACAGACUCCAUUUUACCAUGAGAAUCCAUGUUAUGUAGGAAAUGCUUCUCUCAUGGGAACAUCCCACCUCU
Long non-coding RNA from Sciurus carolinensis (gray squirrel), 1914 nucleotides. RefSeq lists it as uncharacterized. The record is from RefSeq and is a predicted model, not a curated record. Lineage: Eukaryota; Metazoa; Chordata; Mammalia; Rodentia; Sciuridae. The transcript is spliced from 4 exons.